GACGAACGCUGGCGGCGUGCCUAAUACAUGCAAGUCGAACGGAAAGGCCCGGCUUUUGUGGGGUGGACGAGUGGCGAACGGGUGAGUAACACGUGAGUAACCUGCCCUGGACUGUGGGAUAACUUUUGGAAACUGGGGCUAAUACCGGAUAGGAGCUCCUGUUGCAUGGUGGGGGAUGGAAAGUUUCGGUGGUUUGGGUUGGAGUCGCGGCUUAUCAGCUUGUUGGUGGGGUAGGGGUUGACCAAGGCUAUGACGGGUAGCCGACCUGGGAGGGCGACCGGGCACAUUGGGCCUGCGAUAGGGCCCAGACGGCUACGGUAGGCAGCGGUGGGAAAUAUUGCGCAAUAGGCCGGAGCCUGAUACAGCAACUCCGCGUUCGUAAUGACGGCCUUCGGGUUAUAAACCGCUUUCGCCUGUAACGUAGCCUGAGUGACGGUAACUGAUAAGAAAGCAACGGCUAACUACGUG
Molecule: ribosomal RNA, 468 nt
Filed under: uncultured bacterium
Lineage: Bacteria
Description: partial 16S ribosomal RNA
Rfam family: Bacterial small subunit ribosomal RNA
Source: RNAcentral